This is a non-coding RNA of Equus caballus (horse), 937 nucleotides long. Lineage: Eukaryota; Metazoa; Chordata; Mammalia; Perissodactyla; Equidae. The record is from RefSeq and is a predicted model, not a curated record.
GAGCUGACACAGCACAACCUGCCCCACCCCGUGAACACUUUUCACACGUGUUGACUCCUUUAAAACUCAGAGCCAGUGCUGAGGUGGCACCAUGCUGAUAGAAAAGCAGAAGAGGAGUGUCUGCACACAGGUUCCUGUCUGAUGCAGGCCUUUGAUGAGCAGCUGUGAGGGAGAGACCAGAGUGGAGAGAGGCCAGAGGUGUGGGACGCCUUCCCUGUCUCUGGAGCCAGCCAGGACCCUGCGGGAGUUCCAGAACCAUCAGCGUCAACACGGGCCCAGGAUGCAGGCGGCCCGGGACUGGGAUGUCCCCCCCUCACAGCGGUCAGGGGUGGGGCUGGAGGAAAUCACAGAACACAGAAUUCAGAGAUGGAGUGUGGUGACAGCGGCUGACCUGUCCUCCAGGCAAGACCUUCCACCAGCAAAAAGAUUAUGACUUGCUAAAGGCUCAGAUGAUGAGCAUUUUUUAGUAAUAAAAUAUUUCUUAAUUAAGGGGACUUUUGAAUUUGAAUGGACCCUUCCUUCAAACCAGCAGAGAGCCAAACAUUGACUAACUGCAGAGUCAGAGCAUCAACUCAACCACAAUAAACUGGAUCAUCCACUCCUGGCUGUACAGUUUGUCAGACAAUGUCAACGUUAAGAUAGGAAUGGAAUCCAUACUUUGAAGCCACAAUCACUCAGCAAAGUAUUUCCAGCCUUGAUGAAAAGUGCAGUGGCCAGAUUCUUGGCUCUGUCCCCCUCUGGCUAUCACAUAAGGGUUUUAUAUCUCAGUGCCUUUGUUUGUAGAAUGUGCUUGCAUCUAUCUCCCAGGAUUGCUAUGAAGAACAAGUAAAAAAAAUACAAUUUUUAUCUAUGGACAGCUAAUCUUCGACAAAGGAGCUGAGGGCCUACAAUGGAGAAAAGAAAGUCUCUUCAACAAAUGGUGCUGGGAAAACUGGAC